This 215-nucleotide ribosomal RNA is filed under the name uncultured Staphylococcus sp. Its description in RNAcentral is "partial 16S ribosomal RNA". It matches the Rfam family "Bacterial small subunit ribosomal RNA", at positions 147 to 355 of the family's 1533-position model. The record is from RNAcentral. Lineage: Bacteria; Bacillati; Bacillota; Bacilli; Caryophanales; Staphylococcaceae.
UUACGGGAAACCGGAGCUAAUACCGGAUAAUUAUUUUAACCGCAUGGUUCAAAAGUGAAAGACGGUCUUGCUGUCACUUAUAGAUGGAUCCGCGCUGCAUUAGCUAGUUGGUAAGGUAACGGCUUACCAAGGCAACGAUGCAUAGCCGACCUGAGAGGGUGAUCGGCCACACUGGAACUGAGACACGGUCCAGACUCCUACGGGAGGCAGCAGCC